AAUAGAUACCCCGGUAGUCCACGCCCUAAACGAUGUCAACUAGCUGUUGGGGCCUUCGGGCCUUGGUAGCGCAGCUAACGCGUGAAGUUGACCGCCUGGGGAGUACGGUCGCAAGAUUAAAACUCAAAGGAAUUGACGGGGACCCGCACAAGCGGUGGAUGAUGUGGAUUAAUUCGAUGCAACGCGAAAAACCUUACCUACCCUUGACAUGUCUGGAAUCCCGAAGAGAUUUGGGAGUGCUCGCAAGAGAACCGGAACACAGGUGCUGCAUGGCUGUCGUCAGCUCGUGUCGUGAGAUGUUGGGUUAAGUCCCGCAACGAGCGCAACCCUUGUCAUUAGUUGCUACGAAAGGGCACUCUAAUGAGACUGCCGGUGACAAACCGGAGGAAGGUGGGGAUGACGUCAAGUCCUCAUGGCCCUUAUGGGUAGGGCUUCACACGUCAUACAAUGGUCGGGACAGAGGGUCGCCAACCCGCGAGGGGGAGCCAAUCCCAGAAACCCGAUCGUAGUCCGGAUCGCAGUCUGCAACUCGACUG
RNAcentral lists this ribosomal RNA (536 nucleotides) under uncultured bacterium. RNAcentral describes it as "bacterial SSU rRNA". It matches the Rfam family "Bacterial small subunit ribosomal RNA", at positions 777 to 1318 of the family's 1533-position model. The record is from RNAcentral.